Molecule: long non-coding RNA, 478 nt
Organism: Lolium rigidum
Lineage: Eukaryota; Viridiplantae; Streptophyta; Magnoliopsida; Poales; Poaceae
Exons: 3
Source: RefSeq, a predicted model, not a curated record
GGCGCGUCCACUGCCGGUGGAGCUCAAGAUCUCUGGCCGCUGGACAAGGAGGGAAGGAGCAUCGCCGCCUGGAUUCGCGCCGCUGCCAGCUGGAAUCGCGCCGUCGCCGGCCAGAAUCGUGCCUCCUCCGCCUGGAAUCGCGCCUCCUCAACCUGGAUUCGUCCCUCCUCCACCUGGAUUCGCCCUUCCCCAACGUCUGGCGUCGCCUCUGCUGCUGGUCUGCUGCCUCCCCAAGGGAGUGAUUGAGGGCAGUGGUGAUCCUUCAGACUCAGUCAUCAAGAAAAGGCACAAAAUGGGGCGGUUCUUCUAUCUCAUAUCAUGAGGAAUUUUUUUGAUCAUACAAAGUCGUUCUUCUGAAAACUGGCUUGAACUUAUACGUGGAAGCAUGCCUAUAUAUAAAUUCCGAAAGAUUAUUUUAAGAUUAUCACCUUUGAUCUCCCGCACUCCAAGCUUUUGCUUCUAUGGUAAGACAAUCCAU